Molecule: transfer RNA, 77 nt
Filed under: Chitinophagaceae bacterium
Lineage: Bacteria; Pseudomonadati; Bacteroidota; Chitinophagia; Chitinophagales; Chitinophagaceae
Description: tRNA-Met
Rfam family: tRNA
About the family: Transfer RNA (tRNA) molecules are approximately 80 nucleotides in length.
Source: RNAcentral
GGGCCUAUAGCUCAGUUGGUUAGAGCAUCUGACUCAUAAUCAGAGGGUCACUGGUUCAAGCCCAGUUGGGCCCACCC